This 344-nucleotide ribosomal RNA is filed under the name uncultured bacterium. RNAcentral describes it as "bacterial SSU rRNA". It matches the Rfam family "Bacterial small subunit ribosomal RNA", at positions 505 to 843 of the family's 1533-position model. The record is from RNAcentral.
GUGUCAGCAGCCGCGGUAAUACAGAGGUGCGAGCGUUAAUCGGAUUUACUGGGCGUAAAGCGUGCGUAGGCGGCUUUUUAAGUUCGGAUGUGAAAAUCCCCUGAGCUUAACUUAGGAAUUGCAUUCGAUACUGGGAAGCUAGAGGUAUGGGAGAGGAUGGUAGAAUUCCAGGUGUAGCGGUGAAAUGACGUAGAGAUCUGGAGAAUACCGAUGGCGAAGGCAGCCAUCUGGCCUAAUACGUGACGCUGAGGUACGAAAGCAUGGGGAGCAAACAGGAUUAGAUACCCUGGUAGUCCCAUGCCGUAAACGAUGUCUACUAGCCGUUGGGGCCUUUGAGGCUUUAG